GGACGCGUAGCUCAGUUGGUUAGAGCAUUCGGUUUACAUCCGAAGGGUCAGGGGUUCGAGUCCCUUCGCGUCCACCA
This 77-nucleotide transfer RNA is filed under the name Candidatus Microgenomates bacterium. RNAcentral's name for it is "tRNA-Val". It matches the Rfam family "tRNA". From Rfam's summary of the family: Transfer RNA (tRNA) molecules are approximately 80 nucleotides in length. Lineage: Bacteria; Candidatus Microgenomatota. The record is from RNAcentral.